UACGUAGGGUGCAAGCGUUGUCCGGAAUUAUUGGGCGUAAAGAGCUCGUAGGCGGUUUGUUGCGUCGGCUGUGAAAACCCGAGGCUCAACCUCGGGCCUGCAGUGGGUACGGGCAGACUAGAGUGCGGUAGGGGAGAUUGGAAUUCCUGGUGUAGCGGUGGAAUGCGCAGAUAUCAGGAGGAACACCAAUGGCGAAGGCAGAUCUCUGGGCCGUAACUGACGCUGAGGAGCGAAAGCAUGGGGAGCGGACAGG
Molecule: ribosomal RNA, 253 nt
Filed under: uncultured bacterium
Lineage: Bacteria
Description: partial 16S ribosomal RNA
Rfam family: Bacterial small subunit ribosomal RNA
Source: RNAcentral